Molecule: ribosomal RNA, 434 nt
Filed under: uncultured Clostridiales Family XIV bacterium
Lineage: Bacteria; Bacillati; Bacillota; Clostridia; Eubacteriales; Clostridiales Family XIV. Incertae Sedis
Description: bacterial SSU rRNA
Rfam family: Bacterial small subunit ribosomal RNA
Source: RNAcentral
ACGGGAGGCAGCAGUGGGGAAUAUUGGACAAUGGGGGAAACCCUGAUCCAGCGACGCCGCGUGAGUGAAGAAGUAUUUCGGUAUGUAAAGCUCUAUCAGCAAGGAAGAAAAUGACGGUACUUGACUAAGAAGCCCCGGCUAACUACGUGCCAGCAGCCGCGGUAAUACGUAGGGGGCAAGCGUUAUCCGGAUUUACUGGGUGUAAAGGGAGCGUAGACGGCAAAGCAAGUCUGAAGUGAAAUCCCGGGGCUCAACCCUGGAACUGCUUUGGAAACUGUUUAGCUAGAGUGCAGGAGAGGUAAGUGGAAUUCCUAGUGUAGCGGUGAAAUGCGUAGAUAUUAGGAGGAACACCAGUGGCGAAGGCGGCUUUCUGGACUGUUACUGACACUGAGGCACGAAAGUGUGGGGAGCAAACAGGAUUAGAUACCCUGGUA